RNAcentral lists this ribosomal RNA (428 nucleotides) under uncultured bacterium. RNAcentral describes it as "bacterial SSU rRNA". It matches the Rfam family "Bacterial small subunit ribosomal RNA", at positions 29 to 506 of the family's 1533-position model. The record is from RNAcentral.
ACGAACGCUGGCGGCAGGCUUAACACAUGCAAGUCGAGCGCCCCGCAAGGGGAGCGGCGCACGGGAGAAUAACACGUGGGAACCUACCUUUUAGUUCGGAACAACACCGGGAAACUGGUGCUAAUACCGGAUACGUCCUUCGGGAGAAAGAUUUAUCGCUAAAAGAUGGGCCCGCGUUGGAUUAGCUAGUUGGUGAGGUAAUGGCUCACCAAGGCGACGAUCCAUAGCUGGUCUAAGAGGAUGAUCAGCCUCACUGGGACUGAGACACGGCCCAGACUCCUACGGGAGGCAGCAGUGGGGAAUAUUGGACAAUGGGGGCAACCCUGAUCCAGCCAUGCCGCGUGGAUGUUAAGGCCUUCGGGUUGUAAAGUCCUUUUGGCGGGGACGAUGAUGACGGUACCCGCAGAAUAAGAUCCGGCAAACUUCGU